This is a long non-coding RNA of Bufo bufo (common toad), 145 nucleotides long. RefSeq lists it as uncharacterized. The transcript has 3 exons. NCBI's taxonomy places the organism in Eukaryota, Metazoa, Chordata, Amphibia, Anura, Bufonidae. The record is from RefSeq and is a predicted model, not a curated record.
GGUCCGCAUCCGUGAUGCUGGGAGCACUCGGCCGGUGCCCGCCCAUUGCGGACCCGCUGUUUGCGGGCCGCAAUACGGCCAUGGCCGGGCAACAACCAUGUGCAUGAGGCCUUAAAGAGGUUUUACAUUUCCUGCCCUUCACCAG